GGUUCAAAAGCCCUUUUUUCAAACACGGAAAACAGAAUAUUGCACGUCCUCAUCGAGCUGUCGGUGGCGGCCAUACUUCAUUCACACGCAGGUGUGCGCUACGUAAAUGUUCCCUCGCGGCUUCAUUCACACGUCAUAGAAAACGUCAGAUUAUCUGUCGUGUUUUUUUUCUAAUCCUUCUCUCCAAUCAUUUUGUUUGAGACGCUGAUUUGUCGUCGUGCUGCGAGCUGAUUGGUCGGACAGUUUCAACAACUAUCGAGGCCCAUCUGCAAGGCUCGAGUGUCUCCUAGUAGCUCGGCCAGUUGCGGCCUGAACCGACAGCCCCGGUGCAUUCACUGCCUGCCGGCUCUCGGAUGGUGGAAUUCAUCCUCUAUCUGGAAGAACUCAGGCGUUGGCUGCUGAGUGGACCAACUGGCUGCCGCACUGUUGGAGAUAUCCGUUUUCGGAGGCGUUCCACCUCGAGGGACGGGGUCGUCUCCGUCUUUUCUCACACACACACUGGUGUUGUGUGACUGCAGUGACCCUCCACUGACAACAUUAAGCCAAACUAAUCCCAAUUACAGUGUAAAGGUGGAGUUGUUGACCACCGGAGGCCCGUGUGGAGCAACGAGACACUAAAAUAGAAAAUACACUCAUUGUGCCUGAUAGAUAGUCAAUAAAGUCCCCUCUAUCAUCCAUGCAAAAUAAAUGUGAUGAGCAAAAAAUCAAUUAUUGGAAUCUAAAAGCAUUAGUCAUCUGUUGAUGCAGCUCAGGACAGGCUGCUCUCUGAUUGGCUCCCAGCUCUGAUGAUG
Long non-coding RNA from Pseudoliparis swirei, 791 nucleotides. RefSeq lists it as uncharacterized. The record is from RefSeq and is a predicted model, not a curated record. The transcript has 3 exons. Lineage: Eukaryota; Metazoa; Chordata; Actinopteri; Perciformes; Liparidae.